Molecule: ribosomal RNA, 402 nt
Filed under: uncultured bacterium
Lineage: Bacteria
Description: bacterial SSU rRNA
Rfam family: Bacterial small subunit ribosomal RNA
Source: RNAcentral
UGGGGAAUAUUGCACAAUGGGCGAAAGCCUGAUGCAGCAACGCCGCGUGAGUGAUGAAGGCCUUCGGGUUGUAAAGCUCUGUCUUUUGGGACGAUAAUGACGGUACCAAAGGAGGAAGCCACGGCUAACUACGUGCCAGCAGCCGCGGUAAUACGUAGGUGGCGAGCGUUGUCCGGAUUUACUGGGCGUAAAGGAUGCGUAGGCGGAUAUUUAAGUGAGAUGUGAAAUACCCGAGCUUAACUUGGGUGCUGCAUUUCAAACUGGAUAUCUAGAGUGCGGGAGAGGAGAAUGGAAUUCCUAGUGUAGCGGUGAAAUGCGUAGAGAUUAGGAAGAACACCAGUGGCGAAGGCGAUUCUCUGGACCGUAACUGACGCUGAGGCAUGAAAGCGUGGGUAGCAAACA